UACGUAGGGGGCGAGCGUUGUCCGGAUUCAUUGGGCGUAAAGCGCGCGCAGGCGGCCGCGCGAGCCCGGCGUGAAAGCCCCCGGCUCAACCGGGGGAGGCCGUCGGGGACGUCGUGGCUGGAGGCCGGUAGGGGCGAGCGGAAUUCCCGGUGUAGCGGUGGAAUGCGCAGAUAUCAGGAGGAACACCGAUGGCGAAGGCAGGUCUCUGGGCCGCAACUGACGCUGAGGAGCGAAAGCAUGGGGAGCGAACAGG
Molecule: ribosomal RNA, 253 nt
Filed under: uncultured bacterium
Lineage: Bacteria
Description: partial 16S ribosomal RNA
Rfam family: Bacterial small subunit ribosomal RNA
Source: RNAcentral